Molecule: ribosomal RNA, 468 nt
Filed under: uncultured bacterium
Lineage: Bacteria
Description: partial 16S ribosomal RNA
Rfam family: Bacterial small subunit ribosomal RNA
Source: RNAcentral
GACGAACGCUGGCGGCGUGCUUAACACAUGCAAGUCGAACGGAAAGGCCCUGCUUUUGUGGGGUGCUCGAGUGGCGAACGGGUGAGUAACACGUGAGUAACCUGCCCUUGACUUUGGGAUAACUUCAGGAAACUGGGGCUAAUACCGGAUAGGAGCUCCUGCUGCAUGGUGGGGGUUGGAAAGUUUCGGCGGUUGGGGAUGGACUCGCGGCUUAUCAGCUUGUUGGUGGGGUAGUGGCUUACCAAGGCUUUGACGGGUAGCCGGCCUGAGAGGGUGACCGGCCACAUUGGGACUGAGAUACGGCCCAGUCUCCUACGGGAGGCAGCAGUGGGGAAUAUUGCACGAUGGGCGGAAGCCUGAUGCAGCAACGCCGCGUGCGGGAUGACGGCCUUCGGGUUGUAAACCGCUUUCGCCUGUGACGAAGCGUGAGUGACGGUAAUGGGUAAAGAAGCACCGGCUAACUACGUG